GAUGAAGAACGUAGCGAAAUGCGAUAAGUAAUGCGAAUUGCAGAAUCCGUGAGUCAUCGAAUCUUUGAACGCACAUUGCGCCCUCUGGUAUUCCGGAGGGCAUGCCUGUUCGAGCGUCAUUAUCACCCCUCAAGCCCGGCUUGUUGUUGGAUGCAGCGCUUAUCCCGCUCCUCCCAAAGAUAAUGACGGCGUCUGCGACGACUCCUGUACACUGAGCUUUCGGGCACGUACACGGCUAGAAGUCCAGACCCGGUCGCCGUCCCCCCCCGCGGGGACACCCAUUACCACAAGGUUGACCUCGGAUCAGGUAGGAAUACCAGCUGAACUUAAGCAUAUCAAUAAGCGGAGGA
This 350-nucleotide unclassified non-coding RNA is filed under the name soil metagenome. RNAcentral's name for it is "partial contains 5.8S ribosomal RNA, internal transcribed spacer 2, and large subunit ribosomal RNA". The stretch from base 1 to 119 matches the Rfam family "5.8S ribosomal RNA", at positions 35 to 154 of the family's 154-position model. The record is from RNAcentral.